CUCUCGGUAGCCAAGUUGGUUUAAGGCGCAAGACUUUAAUUUAUCACUACGGAAUUCCGUAAUCUUGAGAUCGGGCGUUCGAUCGCCCCGGGAGA
Molecule: transfer RNA, 95 nt
Filed under: synthetic construct
Description: SUP4-o suppressor-tRNA
Rfam family: tRNA
About the family: Transfer RNA (tRNA) molecules are approximately 80 nucleotides in length. Their secondary structure includes four short double-helical elements and three loops (D, anti-codon, and T loops).
Source: RNAcentral